RNAcentral lists this unclassified non-coding RNA (261 nucleotides) under uncultured Lactarius. Its description in RNAcentral is "sequence contains ITS2". Lineage: Eukaryota; Fungi; Basidiomycota; Agaricomycetes; Russulales; Russulaceae. The record is from RNAcentral.
AAACCUCAACCUCCUUGGUUUCUUCUUGGAGACCAAAGCAGGCUUGGACUUUGGAGGCCAUUGCUGGUGCCUCGCUUUUGAAGGCCAGCUCCUCUUAAACAAAUUAGCAGGGUCCUCUUUGCUGAUCCUCGACAUGUGAUAAGAUGCUUCCGUGUCUCGGUUUCUGGCUCUGUUGCCUUUGGGACCCGCUUCUAACCGUCUUUGUGAAGACAAAGUUCGAGCAUGUCUCCCUUCUCGGGAAGCUCCCUCGACCCCACGAAC